Molecule: long non-coding RNA, 1104 nt
Filed under: Ananas comosus (pineapple)
Lineage: Eukaryota; Viridiplantae; Streptophyta; Magnoliopsida; Poales; Bromeliaceae
Description: long non-coding RNA (ACOM_LNC035258)
Source: RNAcentral
CUCUAUGUAGUAAAGAGCUUGCAUGUGAGACUUAUGCAUGGGUUUAACAUUCUAAUUGGGACUUGGAAUCAUGCUCUAUAUAGUAGACAUGACAAAUGUAAUAUGCCUUGGACAUAAAUCUCAUUUGGACAUAAGAGAAUACAUUAGGCCAUAAAGUGGCUUUGGACUUGAAUAACUUGUGAGUUAGGGAGCUAAUGUCGUAAUGCGACAUCGGGCUUGAGCUAUGAAUGAGCCUAGCAAAGUAAUACCAUAGAGAGGCAUUAGACUUGAAUGAUGUGUGAAUUGCGUGUGCAUGUUAAUAUUAUAAGAAUUAUGCUAAGUUGGUAGUUGCAUUGAAAAGUGUAUGCAUGUAGCAUUAUGAGAACUAUGCUAAGUUGAUAGUUGCAUACGGACGCAUUGAAACCAUAUGCUAGUGGAUAGAUGCAUGUUAAUAUUUAUAUACAUUAUGGAAUACAUGCUAGGUACAUAUUAGCGAUGUGAGAUCAUGCUAGAGAGCAUGCGUAUUAACCUAUUAUUAAUAGGGUAAGCUAAUGUCAUAAAGAGGCAUUAGGCUUUGAAUUGGUAUAUUAAGCUAAUGUUAUAAAGCGACAUUAAGCUUGGGACAUGUAUGAACCUAGUAAAUAAUGCUAUAAAGAGGCAUGAAAAUUGGAACAUGCUUGGAUAUAGUAAUGUUCUAGUGUCCUAAAGAGGCACUAGACUUAGUGAAUGUUGGAACUUCACUUUGAGACAUAGACUAGACCCUUAGGGUUACUAGUGGUUAUUCCAUGUUAGAGACAUGAUGACGAGAUCCGUGACAUGAUGACUAUGGUUACUUGCCAUUUGUGCUCAUUCGCACAUGCUUGUGAGGGUCGCUCCCUACAAGCCGGCACUCCGGAGUUGGCCUUUUGCGACGCAGUUCGCGCGUGCGGGAUUGAGACGCCUGUAGGGUCGCGUGGGACAGUCUCAUUCCAGAGUGGGAUGACGAGCUACCACGGGCAGCUAGGCGGCGAGGCGCUUGUAGGGUCGGGUGGGACAGUCUCAUUCCUCGAGGGGGAAUGUUGGAGCUAUCACUGGCAGCUAGGCGGCACAAGUUGGACUACACAUGUGUUGGUCCUGGAUGAGAUU